AUGCCCAAGCGGACCAUGGGAGGGAGGGCCGACGCCGGGGCCGACGCCAUGGUGUCACCUACGCCAGAGCAGGUGGCUCCUCCACCGGAGCAGGUGACUCCUCUGCCACGCCGUCUGCCUCCUCUGCCAUGCCAUUUUCCUCCUCUGCCGCAGCCCGUGGUCAACAUCGACGGUGACGACGAUGAAGAAGAGGUAACUGCUCUGGCUCCUCAGACGAAGCAGGUGUCUCCUCUGCCGCGGGUGACGCCUCCUGUGCCCGAGCCUGUGGUCGUCGGCGAUGUCAACAAAGAAGAUCGUCAGCCGGGUGUUCGUCUGCCACGGUUGUUGCCUCCCCUGCCCCCACCUGUGGUCGUCGCACGAGAACAAAGAAGAGGUUUUCCCUGGUCAGUACAAGGCAAAUAA
This 402-nucleotide ribosomal RNA is filed under the name Triticum aestivum (bread wheat). Its description in RNAcentral is "partial small subunit ribosomal RNA". Lineage: Eukaryota; Viridiplantae; Streptophyta; Magnoliopsida; Poales; Poaceae. The record is from RNAcentral.